This 2895-nucleotide long non-coding RNA is filed under the name Homo sapiens (human). RNAcentral's name for it is "novel transcript". Lineage: Eukaryota; Metazoa; Chordata; Mammalia; Primates; Hominidae. The record is from RNAcentral.
GGGGCACAGCGGCGGCGCAGGCGCGGAGAGGCGCACAGCGCGGCACAGCGAGGCGCCGGCCCAGACUCCACUCCCCAGCUGUGAAAGGAGGAGCUCUACGGUGACUUUGAAGACUUGGAAACAGGGGACGUGCACAAGGGAAAAUCGGGCCCCGAUACUCAGAAUGAAGAUGUAGAGAAACAAGGAAGAAAUUGACCCUGACGAAGAAGAAAGUGCCAAGAAAAAGCAUUUGGAUAAGAAGAGAAAAUUGAAGGAGAUGUUUGAUGUGGAAUAUGAUGAAGGAGAAAGCACAUAUUUUGAUGAUCUUAAAGGAGAAAUGCAGAAACAAGCACAGCUGAAUCAUGCAGAAUUUGAAGAUCAAGAUGAUGAAGCCAGAGUUCAGUAUGAGGGUUUUCGACCUGGGAUGUACGUCUGCGUUGAGAUUGAAAAUGUUCCCUGUGAAUUUGUGUAGAACUUUGACCCCCGUUACCCCAUUAUCCUGGGUGGCUUGGGCAACAGCGAGGGAAAUGUUGGAUACGUGCAGAUGCGUCUGAAGAAACAUCGCUGGUAUAAGAAAAUCCUCAAGUCCCGAGAUCCAAUCAUAUUUUCUGUAGGGUGGAGGAGGUUUCAGACCAUCCCGCUCUGUUAUAUCGAAGACCACAAUGGAAGACAAAGGCUUCUAAAACCCUAUCACUCCACAGGGAACUGGUUUCUUGGCAAUACAGUCUGUCAGUGGCAUAAUGCCUGAUUUUCGGAUAGCUGCCACAGGAGUUGUCCUUGAUCUGGAUAAAUCCAUAAAAAUUGUGAAGAAAUUAAAGCUAACUGGUUUUCCAUAUAAAAUUUUUAAGAACACUUCAUUUAUUAAGGGAAUGUUUAAUUCAGCCUUGGAAGUGGCCAAAUUUGAAGGUGCUGUGAUUCGAACUGUCAGUGGGAUAAGGGGGCAGAUCAAGAAAGCACUCUGAGCUCCAGAAGGAGCUUUCCGGGCCAGCUUUGAGGAUAAGCUGCUGAUGAGCGAUAUUGUCUUCAUGCAAACUUGGUAUCCUGUUUCCAUCCCAGCCUUCUAUAACCCAGUAACAUCUUUGUUGAAACCAGUGGGUGAGAAAGACACCUGGUCAGGAACGCGGACCACGGGCCAACUCAGGCUUGCCCAUGGUGUCAGACUAAAGGCAAACAAGGACUCUCUGUAUAAGGUUCCCUCUCCCAGCCUGUGCUGACUCAGCCAUCUUCCCAUUCUGCAUCUUCUGGAGCAUCAGUCAGACUCACCUGCAUGCUGAGCAGUGGCUUCAGUGUUGGGGACUUCUGGAUAAGGUGGUACCAACAAAAGCCAGGGAACCCUCCCCGGUAUCUCCUGUACUACCACUCAGACUCCAAUAAGGGCCAAGGCUCUGGAGUUCCCAGCCGCUUCUCUGGAUCCAACGAUGCAUCAGCCAAUGCAGGGAUUCUGCGUAUCUCUGGGCUCCAGCCUGAGGAUGAGGCUGACUAUUACUGUGGUACAUGGCACAGCAACUCUAAGACUCACACAGUGCUCCAGACCCAUGAGGAAGUUUCAUUACACAUCAAAGAUGAAUAAUUUCUCUCAUCUUUAGGACAUGCUGAAAACACUCAUUAGUGAUUUUGAACAGUAUUAUUUCCUAAACAUCCUAGUUGGAAUGGUUGAUCCUAAAAGCUACCAUGUGUCAGGCUCACCUGAGUGCAGACUGUGGUCUAAACAAGCUAAAGUUUUAAUUCUUCCAUCUUCAAAUACGGAGCAUAUUUGCUUGUUUUGCUCUUUAGCAAAACACUGCAAAGUCAUUCGCCAGGAUCUCCUGCAGACUGGCAUUCAGUGAUGGAGAACAGACUCCUAGGUGAGAUCCCUGGUCACAGGAUCCAGAUGACUAUGACUGCAAGUCUGGAAAAGAAGAGACAGAACAAAGAUUUACCAGCAUAACCCUCUGAGAAUGUGCCCCAGCCAUCCUGGAGGGAAGAGCUCCCUAUUGACCCAGCACUGCAGAAUCCACAGAGGAAGGACAGCUCUGGCCACCAGGGAGCAGCCACACGACAAGAGAGGACCCGGUGUCCCCACAGGGUCCUGGGCCCAGUCUGUGUUGACGCAGCCGCCCUCAGUGUCUGCGGCCCCAGGACAGAAGGUCACCAUCUCCUGCUCUGGAAGCAGCUCCAACAUUGGGAAUAAUUAUGUAUCCUGGUACCAGCAGCUCCCAGGAACAGCCCCCAAACUCCUCAUUUAUGACAAUAAUAAGCGACCCUCAGGGAUUCCUGACCGAUUCUCUGGCUCCAAGUCUGGCACGUCAGCCACCCUGGGCAUCACCGGACUCCAGACUGGGGACGAGGCCGAUUAUUACUGCGGAACAUGGGAUAGCAGCCUGAGUGCUGGCACAGUGCUCCAGCCCAAUGGGGAACUGAGACAAGAACCCCCUUCUUCCUCCCCCAGGAGGCCUCCCCUGGCUUUCUCUUUCUACAGAAACACCAAGGAGGCAGCCACCAAGGACGAGGGGAGGCCCAGGCAUUAUACCAGGCAGCGGAGCCAGCCAGUCCCCCCAGAUGGUGGAGGGAGGUGGUGGAGGUGUCUGGGACCAGAAAAUAGUGAGGACCCUCUUACUGAAGUGAGGACGGGUGGCAUAAACUGAGGCCCAGAUGGUGGACCAGAUCUCCUGAGCCAUCUACUCAUUUCUUCGUGUGUUCCAGUUUGGGCAAUACACAAACAAGAUGCCACAUGAGAACUAUGGAAACCACUUCCCCCUCCUACAUCCUGUCUCCUGGCCUGUUGGUUUCUCUCAGCUGAAGUGACCAGGAAUGCUUACAUUUAUGUUCCCUCCCAGCCAGGAUCUGUGUGUAGAAACAAGGGGGUCUGUCUGUGUCUGUGUGGGCAACCACAUUAUGUUUUCUUUAGUACCACUACAACCUUACUAUUGACAAACA